AACGAACGCUGGCGGCAGGCUUAACACAUGCAAGUCGAACGGGUGUAGCAAUACAUCAGUGGCAGACGGGUGAGUAACACGUGGGAACCUUCCUAGGGGUACGGAACAACUCAGGGAAACUUGAGCUAAUACCGUAUACGUCCGUGAGGAGAAAGAUUUAUCGCCCUUAGACGGGCCCGCGUCGGAUUAGCUAGUUGGUGGGGUAACGGCCUACCAAGGCGACGAUCCGUAGCUGAUCUUAGAGGAUGAUCAGCCACACUGGGACUGAGACACGGCCCAGACUCCUACGGGAGGCAGCAGUGGGGAAUCUUGGACAAUGGGCGCAGGCCUGAUCCAGCCAUGCCGCGUGAGUGAAGAAGGUCUUCGGAUUGUAAAGCUCUUUUGCCAGGGACGAUAAUGACGGCACCUGGAGAAUAAGCCCCGGCAAACUUCGUGCCAGCAGCCGCCGUAA
Molecule: ribosomal RNA, 451 nt
Filed under: uncultured bacterium
Lineage: Bacteria
Description: partial 16S ribosomal RNA
Rfam family: Bacterial small subunit ribosomal RNA
Source: RNAcentral